CCGGGACCAUGUCAGCAUCUUUUAGCACAUGGCACAGGACUCAUGGUAGCAGGUGUUUAAUAUAAGCCUGGUAAACCCUAGGAUAUUUUUUUCUGAUGUCGGGUGUGGGCAAUGCUGGUGUGACUGAAGUACCAUCUUGCUUUACUACAACAGUUCUUGGAUCCCGAUGAGAAAAUUCCUCUGGCACAUCGUGAGUCAUGUGACUGAAACAAAUCAGACCACCUGUGAAACUGCUGUAGUGAGUCACUGUGACAUUUACAAGACUGUACCAUCAGAGCACUUACCACCUGGAGAUUUAAAGGAAUAGAUCUGAAGGAGGAGUACUUUCUUAUCAAAAGAGUUGAUACCAUGAGGAAGAAGAUAACAGAGAAAAUGAAAAGUUACCCCGUCCUAUCCAUGAGACAGAUGGUAAAAAAAUUCUAUAAAAUGAAAAUUACAAGAAAUCUGUGAGACUUUCUUAUAUAGUAUAUGUUAGCACAUGUCUUGAAACAGUAAAAUAAUGACCAAGAUAACUAGACUUUUUCAUGGUAAGUACAAUUUGAUAUUCAUUACUAUAAAGCAGAACUGUGUUUAAGUGAUAAAUGGCC
RNAcentral lists this long non-coding RNA (587 nucleotides) under Castor canadensis (American beaver). RNAcentral's name for it is "lncRNA (ENSCCNG00000017709.1)". Lineage: Eukaryota; Metazoa; Chordata; Mammalia; Rodentia; Castoridae. The record is from RNAcentral.